Molecule: ribosomal RNA, 500 nt
Filed under: uncultured Glomeromycotina
Lineage: Eukaryota; Fungi; Glomeromycota
Description: partial small subunit ribosomal RNA
Rfam family: Eukaryotic small subunit ribosomal RNA
Source: RNAcentral
CCAAUAGCGUAUAUUAAAGUUGUUGCAGUUAAAAAGCUCGUAGUUGAAUUUCGGGGUCAGUAGGUCGGUCAUGCCUUUGGUAUGUACUGGUCUCAUUGAUUCCUCCUUCCUGAGGAACCGUAAUGCCAUUAAUUUGGUGUUUUGGGGAAUUUGGACUGUUACUUUGAAAAAAUUAGAGUGUUUAAAGCAAGCUAACGCUUGAAUACAUUAGCAUGGAAUAAUGAAAUAGGACGUUCGAUCCUAUUUUGUUGGUUUCUAGGAUUGACGUAAUGAUUAAUAGGGAUAGUUGGGGGCAUUAGUAUUCAAUUGUCAGAGGUGAAAUUCUUGGAUUUAUUGAAGACUAACUACUGCGAAAGCAUUUGCCAAGGAUGUUUUCAUUAAUCAAGAACGAAAGUUAGGGGAUCGAAGACGAUCAGAUACCGUCGUAGUCUUAACCAUAAACUAUGCCGACUAGGGAUCGGAUGAUGUUAAUUUUUUAAUGACUCAUUCGGCACCUUACG